This 497-nucleotide ribosomal RNA is filed under the name uncultured bacterium. Its description in RNAcentral is "partial 16S ribosomal RNA". It matches the Rfam family "Bacterial small subunit ribosomal RNA", at positions 28 to 507 of the family's 1533-position model. The record is from RNAcentral.
GAUGAACGCUGGCGGCGUGCCUAAUACAUGCAAGUCGAACGAACAGACGAGGAGCUUGCUCCUCUGACGUUAGCGGCGGACGGGUGAGUAACACGUGUAUAACCUACCUAUAAGACGGGUAUAACUUCGGGAAACCGGAUCUAAUACCGUAGAAUAUAUUGAACCGCGUGGGGCAAUAGUGAAAGACGGUGUUGCGGGCACUUAUAGAUGCAUCCGCGCGGUAUUAGCUAGUUGGUAAGUUAACGGCUUACCAAGGCAACGAGGCGUAGCCGACCUAAGGGGGUGAUAGGCCACAUUGGAGCUGAGCCACGGUCAAGACUCCUACGGGAGGCCGCAGUCGGGAAUCUUCCGCAGUGGGCGAAAGUCUGACGGAGCAAGGCGGCGUGAGUGAUGACGGUCUUGGGAUCGUAAAACUCUGUUAUUAGGGAAGAACCAAUGUGUAAGUAAAUAUGCCCGUAUUGACGGUAACUAAUAAGAAAGCCACGGCUAACUACGUG